This 404-nucleotide ribosomal RNA is filed under the name uncultured prokaryote. RNAcentral's name for it is "bacterial SSU rRNA". It matches the Rfam family "Bacterial small subunit ribosomal RNA", at positions 355 to 774 of the family's 1533-position model. The record is from RNAcentral.
UGGGGAAUAUUGCGCAAUGGGGGAAACCCUGACGCAGCAACGCCGCGUGGAGGAAGAAGGUAUUCGUAUUGUAAACUCCUGUCUUUUGGGACGAAGAAAUGACGGUACCAAAGGAGGAAGCCACGGCUAACUACGUGCCAGCAGCCGCGGUAAUACGUAGGUGGCAAGCGUUGUCCGGAAUUAUUGGGCGUAAAGGGCGCGUAGGCGGCUUAAUAAGUCAGAUGUGAAACCCCGGGGCUUAACUCCGGAAUGGCAUUUGAAACUGUUGAGCUUGAGUGCAGGAGAGGAAAGCGGAAUUCCUAGUGUAGCGGUGAAAUGCGUAGAUAUUAGGAGGAACACCAGUGGCGAAGGCGGCUUUCUGGACUGUAACUGACGCUGAGGCGCGAAAGCGUGGGGAGCAAACA